RNAcentral lists this ribosomal RNA (322 nucleotides) under uncultured eukaryote. RNAcentral describes it as "partial 18S ribosomal RNA". It matches the Rfam family "Eukaryotic small subunit ribosomal RNA", at positions 1470 to 1796 of the family's 1831-position model. The record is from RNAcentral.
CCCUUAGAUGUUCUGGGCCGCACGCGUGCUACACUGAGUGGAUCAGCGGGUCAGGUUGCGCGAAAGCGUUUCCUAAUCUUUAAAUCCGCUCGUGAUGGGGAUUGACGGUUGCAAUUUUCUGUCAUGAACGAGGAAUACCUUGUAAGCGCGGGUCAUCAUCCCGCGCUGAAUACCUCCCUGCCCUUUGUACACACCGCCCGUCGCUCCUACCGAUUGAGUGGUCCGGUGAGGCUUUGGGAUCUGAGCGGAAAGAGCGUUUCGCUGUUUCUGCUCGGAAAACUCAGUCGAACCUUAUCAUUUAGAGGAAGGAGAAGUCGUAACA